AAAGUUGUUGCGGUUAAAAAGCUCGUAGUUGGAUUUCGGCAUGCGGCGCGGCCGUCCGCCUAACGGCGGUCACGGGCCGCGUACCCGCUUGCCGCUAGCCGGUUUUGCCUUCCGGGGGUGCCCUUUGCUGGGCUGCCCUCGGCGGCCGGUGAGUUUACUUUGAGAAAAUUAGAGUGUUCAAAGCAGGCUGCUGACGCCUGAACGGUGGUGCAUGGAAUAAUGGAAUAGGACCUCGGUUCUAUUUUGUUGGCUUUCGGAAACCCCGAGGUAAUGAUUAAGCGGAACAGGCGGGGGCAUUCGUACUACGGAGCCAGAGGUGAAAUUCUUAGACCUCCGUAAGACGAACUACUGCGAAAGCAUCUGCCAAGGAUGUUUUCAUUAAUCAAGAGCGAAAGUCAGAGGUUCGAAGACGAUCAGAUACCGUCCUAGUUCUGACCAUAAACGAUGUCGACUAGCGGUGCGCCGGCGUCGUAUCACUUGACCCGGCGUGCGGCUGCUCUCGGGAAACCAAAGUCUUUGGAUUCCGGGGGAAGUAUGGUUGCAAAGCUGAAACUUAAAGGAAUUGACGGAAGGGCACCACCAGAUGUGGAGCCUGCGGCUUAAUUUGACUCAACGCGGGGAACCUUACCAGGUCCGGACAUUUGCAAGGAUUGACAGUCUGAUAGCUCUUUCUUGAUUCAAUGGGUGGUGGUGCAUGGCCGUUCUUAGUUCGUGGAGCGAUCUGUCUGGUUAAUUCCGAUAACGAACGAGACUCCGACCUACUAAUCAAGCUAGCCGGCCCUACCUAGAGCCGGUGCAGCACUUAUAGCUUCUUAGAGGAACCGGCGGCGUCUAGUCGCACCAAGAGGAGCAAUAACAGGUCUGUGAUGCCCUUAGAUGUCCUGGACUGCACGCGCGCUACAAUGAAGCAAUCAGCGGGACCAUUCGCCUAGCCCGAGAGGGCCGGGUAAACCGAUGAACCUGCUUCGUGGUUGGGACUGACGCGUGCAAUUCUCGUCACGAACGAGGAAUAUCCAGUAAGCGCGGGUCAGCAGCCGGCGUUGAUUACGUCCCUGCCCUUUGUACACACCGCCCGUCGCUACUACCGAUUGAGUGGCUCAGUGAGGCUCUCGGAUCGGCGUCGRCCCGCUGCGUGGCUCGAGCUCUUCUCGGCGCAAGUCGAGUCGCGCUCGUCCUGCUGCCAGAGGGCCAGCGACGCUGAAAAGAAAGCCGAACUGAGUCGCUUAGAGGAAGUAAAAGUCGUAACAAGGUUUCCGUAGGUGA
Molecule: ribosomal RNA, 1263 nt
Filed under: Sphaerodorum flavum
Lineage: Eukaryota; Metazoa; Annelida; Polychaeta; Phyllodocida; Sphaerodoridae
Description: SSU rRNA
Rfam family: Eukaryotic small subunit ribosomal RNA
Source: RNAcentral